Molecule: ribosomal RNA, 253 nt
Filed under: uncultured bacterium
Lineage: Bacteria
Description: partial 16S ribosomal RNA
Rfam family: Bacterial small subunit ribosomal RNA
Source: RNAcentral
UACGGGGGGGGCGAGCGUUGUUCGGAAUUACUGGGCGUAAAGGGUUUGUAGGUGGUCUGCUAAGUCAGACGUGAAAUCCCUCAGCUUAACUGGGGAACUGCGUCUGAUACUGGCGGACUUGAGGACAGGAGAGGAACGCGGAAUUCCAGGUGUAGCGGUGAAAUGCGCAGAUAUCAGGAGGAACACCUAUGGCGAAGGCAGCUCGCUGGGACGUUACUGACGCUGAGACGCGAAAGCGUGGGGAGCAAACAGG